AAAGGCAUUGGAGAGCGUGGUGGCCAAGGUGAUGAGCGCCAACAAAGCAACCAGCAGGACUUUCCAGGGCAGGGCGAUGGAGUCCUGGUAAAUGUAGCCGUCGACGCUGCAGUUGUGGGAGAGGUGAAAUCGUCAGCAAAGCCUCCAGCACUGAACAACCUUUUCCUGUGUAGCCAUAGACCAUAGCCAGUCUCCUCUCCAACAGCCUCACUAUCUCUGAAAGUUGAAUUUCAAAGCAAAACUGCAAAACUUCAAGUAUCAUUUACAAGAAGGAUCUAUGCGAGGCACAAAGCAAAUCUCAAGCAACUGAAACUGACAGUUAAUCAAAAAAGAUGAUUAAGAAAAUAGCUGUAAUCAAAGGAAAUAACUUCUCUAUCAACAAUCAGCAUAGGCCACGACUGCAAGCUCCUGCUGCCUGCACUUCCUUGCCAUGAUGGACUGUACCUUGAAUCCUGUACUAAAAGAAACCUGUUCUUUCAUAAGUUGCUUUCGUCAGAGUAGAAUGCUCACAGCAACAGAAGAGAAACUAGGACAUCUUAUAAAGUUGCACUUCAUGAAUUGCCAGCACCCAAAUCUAACUCAACCCUCCCAAGUAUACAGAGCCAUGUUCUAUCUUGUCCUUGUCAAACACCCCUGUUUUCUCUCAGGUACUUAAAAAGGCUGAUGGCUGACACUUUGGCUACAAAAAUGUAUAACUACGUUGUCUUGAUCCAUUCUUCACUCGGUAGAUUAUUGCUUUGGAUCCUAAGUGCCAAUAUUUUUUUUUCUGUGUAUAUUAAAUGAAAAGGUCUAAAAUACUGGUGACUUCUCUUGUUAGAAAGGUUUACUUUUCUGUCAAAUGUGUACUUUAUUUUCAGUAUUAGAGUAUGCUUUUAUUAUGUCUAUUUUUUCUCUACUACUGCUUGACUAUAACAGACUAGUUAUGAGAAUUUGUCCUAAGGUAGUACAUUUUAAGAUUAAAACUUUGGGCUGUGGGGAGUUCUCAGAUCAUUGUCAGUUUGGUUCCAAAAGGAAUGUGAGACCCCAAUUCUCUUUUAUUCUUCUUUCUUCUUCUUAAUCAUGAGGUAAAGCAGUUUACCAUUUGUGCCAUCUUGGGCCUCUUGCAUCCUUAACUCCAGUCCAAAUAUAGGUUAAUGAAAUCUUAGAAUUUUCAAUCCAAAAGCAUGAGACAAAACACACCUUUCGUCUUCAUCGAUCAAUCAUUUAACAUUUUGGUUGUUAUAGUAAUAAGAAAGAACUAACAAAGACCUUUCAUGUCCUGAGAGAGGGAUCAUAUAUUUUAUUAAAUAUUUUAUGGUGCUAUUUUUAUUACGUUUGCAUUUUAAGUAUGAGUGUGCAUAGAAAAUUGGCAUUUAAUUGAAUAUGAUUUAUAAAUUUAAAAUUGCUGAGUAUUUUGAGCCAUAAAAAUUAUGCUGCAUUUGUUUU
This 1425-nucleotide long non-coding RNA is filed under the name Mus pahari (shrew mouse). Its description in RNAcentral is "lncRNA (MGP_PahariEiJ_G0002303.1)". Lineage: Eukaryota; Metazoa; Chordata; Mammalia; Rodentia; Muridae. The record is from RNAcentral.